GCUUUCGUGGUGUAGUGGUCAGCACGCUCGGCUUGUAUUCGAGAGAUCCGUGGUUCGAGUCCCGGUGAGAGCA
Molecule: non-coding RNA, 73 nt
Organism: Stegodyphus mimosarum
Lineage: Eukaryota; Metazoa; Arthropoda; Arachnida; Araneae; Eresidae
Source: Rfam